RNAcentral lists this ribosomal RNA (17 nucleotides) under Ruinenia rubra. RNAcentral's name for it is "partial 18S rRNA". RNAcentral also lists the same sequence under 1 other name. The record is from RNAcentral. Lineage: Eukaryota; Fungi; Basidiomycota; Agaricostilbomycetes; Agaricostilbales; Ruineniaceae.
CUGCGAAAGGAUCAUUA